AUUAUCUUUUGUAAGUGUGAGUGAGGGUUUAACAAAAAAUCUUUGAAACAUUCUGUCUAAAUGACCACAUCCUUUAUCCGUAGGUGGCAUGCAAGCAUUGAUAUCAUUGUCAGAUAAGCGGGAUCUAGCUUUCCUUGCAAACGGACUUCAAGCGUUAGGGUGUGUUUGCACUCUUCCAGUUGCACUUUCAUGUUUGCAAUUUACUUCUUGAUCAUUAAAAAUGUAUUUCAUGAUUCCUUAUGUUUAUUGUGUCCUUAUGCUUGUAUUGCCAUUAUAAUUCUCUGUUUUUUAGAACGAUGUGUAAUUGUUUAGGAACCUAUAAAUGAAUACCUUCCAUGCAAUAGAGUUUCAGAACAUUUGCAUCGAGGAAGAUGCCUUCAUAGACAUUUGAUAGUAGUUUAAUAAUGGUUCCCUUCCCUCCCGUCCCCCUGUUUGAAAGAUUGAUUAAUCCUACUGCUGAAUGAAUGUUGCAUCUAUAAUAUAGCCUAUUUUGUUUUAAAAUUUUAAACUACCUGUAACUUAACAAUUACCAACCAACUUUCUAUGUGAGUUAGAAUUUUGCAAACAACAGUUGAAUCAGAACAAAUUAAACAAAGAACAAAUUUAUGUGCAUAUGAUAAUAAUGAAACUCUUGUCAAUAGCCAUGGGGUACCUGAUAGUGGUCCCAGUCAAAGAAGGAUUAUAACAGAUAAAAAAGAAAUAUAUAUUCUCUUUAAGGCGAGAACAGGACCACAAUAGUUGAGGAAAUUUUCUUGCUUUUCUAUUGCUAAACUCUGGUUCCUUAAAUAGGCUAAAGCCCAGCGAAACCAACGAGUACAUGACCGAAACUUAAGCUACUAAACUUUUACUCAGUAAACAACAACGGGAAGUAAUGGAAAAACAGACUCCUAAACUAGCUCCAACGGCUAGUUGACUGGGCAACGCUGCAUGUAAACGUUUGAAGUUGUUUUAUUCCCUGCGUAAUCCAUGCAACAACUUUGACAGCUUCUUCUUGACCUCCGCAAGCCAUGCAGCUCCUUUCUCAC
Molecule: long non-coding RNA, 1025 nt
Filed under: Phoenix dactylifera (date palm)
Lineage: Eukaryota; Viridiplantae; Streptophyta; Magnoliopsida; Arecales; Arecaceae
Description: long non-coding RNA (PDAC_LNC014164)
Source: RNAcentral